This 216-nucleotide non-coding RNA is filed under the name human gut metagenome. The record is from RNAcentral.
AAAUCCCGUCUGGCUAAGGUCUAACCAAACCACCAGUAGCGAGUUUUGCACUUAUGACAGUAAUGUUAUGAGUAAAGCGUAAACAGCGAGAAAGUAUGGUUAAAAGGCAAUUCAGCCCGAAAUGUUACCAAUUAAAAGGCAGGCGUGCUAAUUGCCACGGAAUGCAAUAUUUAAAUAAUCGUUAAGGUGAGAUUAUUCAAGCUUUUACGGGGUCAA